AUAACUGGCUUGUGGCAGCCAAGCGUUCAUAGCGACGUUGCUUUUUGAUCCUUCGAUGUCGGCUCUCUCUCCCUCCAUCAUUAUUAUUCGAGCUCGCGUU
RNAcentral lists this non-coding RNA (100 nucleotides) under Linnemannia elongata AG-77. RNAcentral describes it as "Mortierella elongata AG-77 Eukaryotic large subunit ribosomal RNA". It matches the Rfam family "Eukaryotic large subunit ribosomal RNA", at positions 2826 to 2925 of the family's 3401-position model. Lineage: Eukaryota; Fungi; Mortierellomycota; Mortierellomycetes; Mortierellales; Mortierellaceae. The record is from Rfam by way of RNAcentral.